AGUAUAGUGCCUGACAAAAGGGUAGUUUUGAUAGGACUAAUUAUGUAAAUUUUUUUUACCUAUGCUGUUACCAUUA
Molecule: transfer RNA, 76 nt
Filed under: Helicana wuana
Lineage: Eukaryota; Metazoa; Arthropoda; Malacostraca; Decapoda; Varunidae
Description: tRNA-Ile
Source: RNAcentral